RNAcentral lists this ribosomal RNA (422 nucleotides) under uncultured bacterium. RNAcentral's name for it is "bacterial SSU rRNA". It matches the Rfam family "Bacterial small subunit ribosomal RNA", at positions 335 to 774 of the family's 1533-position model. The record is from RNAcentral.
ACUCCUACGGGAGGCAGCAGUGGGGAAUCUUGCGCAAUGGGCGAAAGCCUGACGCAGCCAUGCCGCGUGAAUGAUGAAGGUCUUAGGAUUGUAAAAUUCUUUCACCGGGGACGAUAAUGACGGUACCCGGAGAAGAAGCCCCGGCUAACUUCGUGCCAGCAGCCGCGGUAAUACGAAGGGGGCUAGCGUUGCUCGGAAUUACUGGGCGUAAAGGGCGCGUAGGCGGAUCGUUAAGUCAGAGGUGAAAUCCCAGGGCUCAACCCUGGAACUGCCUUUGAUACUGGCGAUCUUGAGUAUGAGAGAGGUAUGUGGAACUCCGAGUGUAGAGGUGAAAUUCGUAGAUAUUCGGAAGAACACCAGUGGCGAAGGCGACAUACUGGCUCAUUACUGACGCUGAGGCGCGAAAGCGUGGGGAGCAAACA